Molecule: ribosomal RNA, 406 nt
Filed under: uncultured bacterium
Lineage: Bacteria
Description: partial 16S ribosomal RNA
Rfam family: Bacterial small subunit ribosomal RNA
Source: RNAcentral
AUUGAACGCUGGCGGCAGGCCUAACACAUGCAAGUCGAGCGAGCGGCUGACGCGUGUGUAAUGUCUGGGAAACUGCCUCAUGUAGGGGGCUAACUACUGGAAACGGUAGCUAAUACCGCAUCCCAUCAGAUGUGCCCAGAUGGGAUGAGCUCUUGUGUGGGGUAACGGCUCACCCAUGCUACGAUCCCUAGCUGGUCUGAGAGGAGGACCAGCCACACUGGAACUGAGACACGGUCCAGACUCCUACGGGAGGCAGCAGUGGGGAAUAUUGCACAAUGGGCGCAAGCCUGAUGCAGCCAUGCCGCGUGUGUGAAGAAGGCCUUCGGGUGGUAAAGCACUUUCAGCGGGGAGGCGUUACCCGCAGAAGAAGCACCGGCUAACUCCGUGCCAGCAGCCGCGGUAAUAC